ACAGCUCAGUAACACGUGGCUAACCUGCCCUUGGGACGGGAACAACCCCGGGAAACUGGGGCUAACUCUCGAUAGGCGAAGAACUCUGGAAUGAGUCUUCACCCAAACAGUUUAAGGUUAUGCUCUUUAAACUGCCCAAGGAUGGGGCCGCGACCGAUCAGGUUGUUGGUGAGGUAAUGGCUCACCAAGCCUUUUACCGGUGCGGGCCGUGGGAGCGGGAGCCCGGAGAUGGGCACUGAGACAAGGGCCCAGGCCCUACGGGGCGCAGCAGUCGCGAAAACUUUGCAAUAAGCGAAAGCUUGACAGGGCUAUCCCGAGUGCCAUCCGCUGAGGAAGGCUUUUACCCAGUCUAGAACGCUGGGGGAAUAAGGAGAGGGCAGGUCUGGUGUCAGCCGCCGCGGUAAUACCAGCUCUUCGAGUGGUGUGGAUGUUUCUUGGGCCUAAAGCAUCCGUAGCUGGCUAGGUUAGUCCCCUGUUAAAUCCACCGAAUUAAUCGUUGGAUUGCGGGGGAUACUGCUUGGCUAGGGGACGAGAGAGGCAGACGGUAUUUCCGGGGUAGGGGUGAAAUCCUAUAAUCCCGGGAAGACCACCAGUGGCGAAGGCUGUCUGCUAGAACGCGCCCGACGGUGAGGGAUGGAAGCUGGGGGAGCGAACCGGAUUAGAUACCCGGGUAGUCCCAGCUGUAAACGAUGCAGACUAGGUGUUUGAACGGCCACGUGCCGUUCUAGUGCCGCAG
Molecule: ribosomal RNA, 736 nt
Filed under: uncultured archaeon
Lineage: Archaea
Description: bacterial SSU rRNA
Rfam family: Archaeal small subunit ribosomal RNA
Source: RNAcentral